UGCCUACGGGACGCAGCAGUGGGGAAUAUUGCACAAUGGGGGAAACCCUGAUGCAGCGACGCCGCGUGAGUGAAGAAGUAAUUCGUUACGUAAAGCUCUAUCAGCAGGGAAGAAACACUGACCUUACGGUCAGCAGACGGUACCUGAGUAAGAAGCCCCGGCUAACUACGUGCCAGCAGCCGCGGUAAUAAGUAGGGGGCAAGAGUUAUCCGGAUUUACUGGGUGUAAAGGGAGCGAAGACGGUGCGCCAAGACUGGAGUGAAAUG
This 266-nucleotide ribosomal RNA is filed under the name uncultured bacterium. RNAcentral describes it as "partial 16S ribosomal RNA". It matches the Rfam family "Bacterial small subunit ribosomal RNA", at positions 335 to 601 of the family's 1533-position model. The record is from RNAcentral.